This 372-nucleotide long non-coding RNA is filed under the name Hordeum vulgare. Its description in RNAcentral is "long non-coding RNA (HVUL_LNC021402)". The record is from RNAcentral. Lineage: Eukaryota; Viridiplantae; Streptophyta; Magnoliopsida; Poales; Poaceae.
AGGAGACUUUACAAAUACAAAAUUCAUGAUUGAAAUAUUGACAAUCUAACCCGAUACAACGCACGGACAGUUUUACUAGUUAUCUCUAAUAUAAACAAUGUUUGUCGUCGCGGAAAUAUAUAGUCAACCGCAAGAGGACGGCGCGAAACUUGUCAAGAAAAGAAAACAAAAAACAAAGAAAGAGAUGUUGCGAUGACGCCACACUAACAAAGGAUAAGAAACCCCGAAAGCAACCUAAACAUGAGAUUUACAAAAUUCGAUCACCGAUGGUACAAAAUUGCAACGUGGCUACAACGGUUAGUGCUAUUACAAUUUGUCAGUUCAAAAUGAAAAUCCACAGCGCUACAAUCCCUUAGAUGUUGACGAANNNNN